Molecule: ribosomal RNA, 254 nt
Filed under: uncultured bacterium
Lineage: Bacteria
Description: partial 16S ribosomal RNA
Rfam family: Bacterial small subunit ribosomal RNA
Source: RNAcentral
UACGAAGGGGGCGAGCGUUGUUCGGAUUUACUGGGCGUAAAGGGCGCGCAGGCGGCUUUUCAAGUCAGGCGUGAAAGCCCCGGGCUUAACCUGGGAACUGCGUCUGGGACUGAAGGGCUAGAGUUCGGGAGAGGAGAGUGGAAUUCCCAGUGUAGAGGUGAAAUUCGUAGAUAUUGGGAAGAACACCGGUGGCGAAGGCGGCGAACCUGGUCCGUGACUGACGCUGAGGCGCGAAAGCGUGGGGAGCAAACAGG